This 1408-nucleotide ribosomal RNA is filed under the name uncultured archaeon. RNAcentral's name for it is "16S ribosomal RNA". It matches the Rfam family "Archaeal small subunit ribosomal RNA". The record is from RNAcentral.
UGAUCCUGCCAGAGGUCAUUGCUAUCGGGGUCCGAUUUAGCCAUGCUAGUCGAACGGGUUAAGACCCGUGGCGAAUAGCUCAGUAACACGUAGAUAAACUACCCUAUGGACUGUGAUAACCUCGGAAAACUGAGGGUAAUAACAGAUAGUACUCCUACGCUGGAAUGCAGUGAGUACGAAAUGCUCCGGUGCCAUAGGAUGUGACUGCGGCCGAUUAGUUAGACGGUGGGGUAACGGCCCACCGUGCCGAUAAUCGGUACGGGUGGUGAGAGCCAGAGCCCGGAGAUGGAAUCUGAGACAAGGUUCCAGGCCCUAUGGGGCGCAGCAGGCGCGAAAACUUUACAAUGCGCGAAAGCGCGAUAAGGGGACCCCGAGUGCGAGGGCAUAACGUCCUCGCUUUUGUAUAUCGUAAGAAGAUACACGAAUAAGGGCUGGGCAAGACCGGUGCCAGCCGCCGCGGUAAUACCGGCAGCUCGAGUGAUGAUCACUAUUAUUGGGCCUAAAGCGUCCGUAGCCGGUCGAACAAGUCCUUCGGUAAAUCCACUCGCUCAACGAGUGGGCUCUCGAGGGAAACUGUUCGACUUGGGGCCGGGAGAUCUGAGGGGUACGUCUAGGGUAGGAGUGAAAUCCUGUAAUCCUAGACGGACCGCCGGUGGCGAAAGCGCCUCAGAAGAACGGACCCGACGGUCAGGGACGAAAGCUAGGGUCUCGAACCGGAUUAGAUACCCGGGUAGUCCUAGCCGUAAACGAUGCUCGCUAGGUGUUGCGAAAGCUACGUGCUUUUGCUGUGCCGUAGGGAAGCCGUGAAGCGAGCCGCCUGGGAAGUACGUCCGCAAGGAUGAAACUUAAAGGAAUUGGCGGGGGAGCACUACAACCGGAGGAGCCUGCGGUUUAAUUGGACUCAACGCCGGAAAUCUCACCAGUACCGACAAUUGCAGUGACAGUCAAGUUAAUGACUUUACUCGAGCUCUUGAGAGGAGGUGCAUGGCCGCCGUCAGCUCGUACCGUGAGGCGUCCUGUUAAGUCAGGCAACGAGCGAGACCCACAUCUCUAAUUGCCAGCAGCAUCCAUGUGAUGGCUGGGUACAUUAAGAAGAANAAUGGCCGUCGUUAAGGCGGAGGAAGGAAUGGGCAACGGUAGGUCAGUAUGCCCCGAAUGUACUGGGCUACACGCGGGCUACAAUGGCCGGGACAAUGGGAUGCAACCCCGAGAGGGGAAGCCAAUCUCUUAAACCCGGUCUUAGUUCGGAUUGAGGGCUGAAACUCGCCCUCAUGAAGCUGGAUUCGGUAGUAAUCGCGUCUCAAUAGGGCGCGGUGAAUACGUCCCUGCUCCUUGCACACACCGCCCGUCAAAGCACCCGAGUGAGGCUUGGAUGAGGCCGCCCUUAGGCGGUCGAAUCUGGACUUCG